RNAcentral lists this ribosomal RNA (285 nucleotides) under uncultured Oscillospiraceae bacterium. RNAcentral describes it as "partial 16S ribosomal RNA". It matches the Rfam family "Bacterial small subunit ribosomal RNA", at positions 61 to 339 of the family's 1533-position model. The record is from RNAcentral. Lineage: Bacteria; Bacillati; Bacillota; Clostridia; Eubacteriales; Oscillospiraceae.
UUUUUAGAAUGAAGUUUUCGGAUGGAAUUUUUAAACUUAGUGGCGGACGGGUGAGUAACACGUGAGCAACCUGCCUUUCAGAGGGGGAUAACGGCUGGAAACGGUCGCUAAUACCGCAUAAAAUCAUAGGAGGACAUCCUCUAAUGAUCAAAGGAGCAAUCCGCUGAAAGAUGGGCUCGCGUCUGAUUAGAUAGUUGGCGGGGUAACGGCCCACCAAGUCGACGAUCAGUAGCCGGACUGAGAGGUUGAACGGCCACAUUGGGACUGAGACACGGCCCAAACUCC